Molecule: ribosomal RNA, 629 nt
Filed under: Escherichia coli
Lineage: Bacteria; Pseudomonadati; Pseudomonadota; Gammaproteobacteria; Enterobacterales; Enterobacteriaceae
Description: bacterial SSU rRNA
Rfam family: Bacterial small subunit ribosomal RNA
Source: RNAcentral
AAAUUGAAGAGUUUGAUCAUGGCUCAGAUUGAACGCUGGCGGCAGGCCUAACACAUGCAAGUCGAACGGUAACAGGAAGCAGCUUGCUGCUUUGCUGACGAGUGGCGGACGGGUGAGUAAUGUCUGGGAAACUGCCUGAUGGAGGGGGAUAACUACUGGAAACGGUAGCUAAUACCGCAUAACGUCGCAAGACCAAAGAGGGGGACCUUCGGGCCUCUUGCCAUCGGAUGUGCCCAGAUGGGAUUAGCUAGUAGGUGGGGUAAAGGCUCACCUAGGCGACGAUCCCUAGCUGGUCUGAGAGGAUGACCAGCCACACUGGAACUGAGACACGGUCCAGACUCCUACGGGAGGCAGCAGUGGGGAAUAUUGCACAAUGGGCGCAAGCCUGAUGCAGCCAUGCCGCGUGUAUGAAGAAGGCUUUCGGGUUGUAAAGUACUUUCAGCGGGGAGGAAGGGAGUAAAGUUAAUACCUUUGCUCAUUGACGUUACCCGCAGAAGAAGCACCGGCUAACUCCGUGCCAGCAGCCGCGGUAAUACGGAGGGUGCAAGCGUUAAUCGGAAUUACUGGGCGUAAAGCGCACGCAGGCGGUUUGUUAAGUCAGAUGUGAAAUCCCCGGGCUCAACCUGGGA